CGGGCGGGUGAGUAAUGUCUGGGAAACUGCCUGAUGGAGGGGGAUAACUACUGGAAACGGUAGCUAAUACCGCAUAACGUCGCAAGACCAAAGAGGGGGACCUUCGGGCCUCUUGCCAUCGGAUGUGCCCAGAUGGGAUUAGCUAGUAGGUGGGGUAAAGGCUCACCUAGGCGACGAUCCCUAGCUGGUCUGAGAGGAUGACCAGCCACACUGGAACUGAGACACGGUCCAG
This 232-nucleotide ribosomal RNA is filed under the name uncultured bacterium. RNAcentral's name for it is "partial 16S ribosomal RNA". It matches the Rfam family "Bacterial small subunit ribosomal RNA", at positions 99 to 334 of the family's 1533-position model. The record is from RNAcentral.